RNAcentral lists this non-coding RNA (27 nucleotides) under Rattus norvegicus (Norway rat). Lineage: Eukaryota; Metazoa; Chordata; Mammalia; Rodentia; Muridae. The record is from RNAcentral.
UACAUACACACAUCCUCAGGGCACCCU